AUUGGGUGGUAUUCGGUCAUUUUCAGCAGAUUUUUUGGCAUCAAGCUAACGCCGGAAAUACCCAUAUCGGGAAGUAUUUAGUUAUUUUGGUUGUUUUACAGAAAAUAAAAGUGGUCGUCUUCAAAUUCAAAAUGGUGUCCAAGGUCAAAGUUUGGUUUCUAUGCAUCAUCUCGAUUACGGAAAUAUCCAUAUUGAGCAUUAUUCGGUCAUUUUCUACUGUUUCCUAGAAGUUGCAAUUUAGCAAUUUAAAAUGGUGCCUGAGGUCAAUUGCUGUUUUCCCCCAUCGAUUUGAUGAUAUGUCCCCUGACAAUUGGAGAGAUUUGGCUGUAGAGAAAGUCCGUUUCCAUCUGAAGCUGCAAGAGAUUUACGACCAAGACGAAUCCGAUUCCACUGAUUGGGAGACCGACUCAGACUAGUAAUUUUCUUGUUUUCACUUGUGGACCAGCUUUCCUAACCAACACACAGUCAAUUUCCGAUUGCCCUUUACACUGUUUCUGCAUACGAAGUGGAUGAACUGUGUUUCGUUCAACAACUUUUCGAAAAAUUUUCAUACACCUAAUCUGUGAAAAUCAACAUUCGAAAUAAUAAUUAUGUUUUUUCAACUAAUUAUGACGAACGAUUGCAGAUUUAAUUCCAGAGAAGCAAGAGGAUUUAGUUGAAAUUAUGACUAGUUCGGAUAAAUCCAAAAUAUAUAUUCAAAUAAAUUCAAGAUUUAUUGAGUAACCAUUAUCAA
Long non-coding RNA from Wyeomyia smithii (pitcher-plant mosquito), 733 nucleotides. RefSeq lists it as uncharacterized. The transcript has 3 exons. NCBI's taxonomy places the organism in Eukaryota, Metazoa, Arthropoda, Insecta, Diptera, Culicidae. The record is from RefSeq and is a predicted model, not a curated record.